UUUAGAGUUUUGAACAGGCUCAGGACGAACGCUGGCGGCGUGCCUAAUACAUGCAAGUCGAGCGGACAGAAGGGAGCUUGCUCCCGGAUGUUAGCGGCGGACGGGUGAGUAACACGUGGGUAACCUGCCUGUAAGACUGGGAUAACUCCGGGAAACCGGAGCUAAUACCGGAUAGUUCCUUGAACCGCAUGGUUCAAGGAUGAAAGACGGUUUCGGCUGUCACUUACAGAUGGACCCGCGGCGCAUUAGCUAGUUGGUGAGGUAACGGCUCACCAAGGCGACGAUGCGUAGCCGACCUGAGAGGGUGAUCGGCCACACUGGGACUGAGACACGGCCCAGACUCCUACGGGAGGCAGCAGUAGGGAAUCUUCCGCAAUGGACGAAAGUCUGACGGAGCAACGCCGCGUGAGUGAUGAAGGUUUUCGGAUCGUAAAGCUCUGUUGUUAGGGAAGAACAAGUGCAAGAGUAACUGCUUGCACCUUGACGGUACCUAACCAGAAAGCCACGGCUAACUACGUGCCAGCAGCCGCGGUAACGUAGGUGGCAAGCGUUGUCCGGAAUUAUUGGGCGUAAAGGGCUCGCAGGCGGUUUCUUAAGUCUGAUGUGAAAGCCCCCGGCUCAACCGGGGAGGGUCAUUGGAAACUGGGAAACUUGAGUGCAGAAGAGGAGAGUGGAAUUCCACGUGUAGCGGUGAAAUGCGUAGAGAUGUGGAGGAACACCAGUGGCGAAGGCGACUCUCUGGUCUGUAACUGACGCUGAGGAGCGAAAGCGUGGGAGCGAACAGGAUUAGAUACCCUGGUAGUCCACGCCGUAAACGAUGAGUGCUAAGUGUUAGGGGGUUUCCGCCCCUUAGUGCUGCAGCUAACGCAUUAAGCACUCCGCCUGGGGAGUACGGUCGCAAGACUGAAACUCAAAGGAAUUGACGGGGGCCCGCACAAGCGGUGGAGCAUGUGGUUUAAUUCGAAGCAACGCGAAGAACCUUACCAGGUCUUGACAUCCUCUGACAACCCUAGAGAUAGGGCUUUCCCUUCGGGGACAGAGUGACAGGUGGUGCAUGGUUGUCGUCAGCUCGUGUCGUGAGAUGUUGGGUUAAGUCCCGCAACGAGCGCAACCCUUGAUCUUAGUUGCCAGCAUUCAGUUGGGCACUCUAAGGUGACUGCCGGUGACAAACCGGAGGAAGGUGGGGAUGACGUCAAAUCAUCAUGCCCCUUAUGACCUGGGCUACACACGUGCUACAAUGGACAGAACAAAGGGCUGCGAGACCGCAAGGUUUAGCCAAUCCCACAAAUCUGUUCUCAGUUCGGAUCGCAGUCUGCAACUCGACUGCGUGAAGCUGGAAUCGCUAGUAAUCGCGGAUCAGCAUGCCGCGGUGGAAUACGUUCCCGGGGCCUUGUACACACCGCCCGUCACACCACGAGAGUUUGCAACACCCGAAGUCGGUGAGGUAACCUUUAUGGAGCCAGCCGCCGAAGGUGGGGCAGAUGAUUGGGGUGAAGUCGUAACAGGGUAAACCGUAAA
This 1518-nucleotide ribosomal RNA is filed under the name Bacillus altitudinis. RNAcentral's name for it is "bacterial SSU rRNA". It matches the Rfam family "Bacterial small subunit ribosomal RNA". Lineage: Bacteria; Bacillati; Bacillota; Bacilli; Caryophanales; Bacillaceae. The record is from RNAcentral.